UACUUGCUAGUCUUGCUACAUCAAGACA
This 28-nucleotide small RNA is filed under the name Bombyx mori (domestic silkworm). Its description in RNAcentral is "piRNA piR-bmo-2088489". Lineage: Eukaryota; Metazoa; Arthropoda; Insecta; Lepidoptera; Bombycidae. The record is from RNAcentral.